Molecule: ribosomal RNA, 468 nt
Filed under: uncultured bacterium
Lineage: Bacteria
Description: partial 16S ribosomal RNA
Rfam family: Bacterial small subunit ribosomal RNA
Source: RNAcentral
GACGAACGCUGGCGGCGUGCUUAACACAUGCAAGUCGAACGGAAAGGCCCUGCUUUUGUGGGGUGCUCGAGUGGCGAACGGGUGAGUAACACGUGAGUAACCUGCCCUUGACUUUGGGAUAACUUCAGGAAACUGGGGCUAAUACCGGAUAGGAGCUCCUGCUGCAUGGUGGGGGUUGGAAAGUUUCGGCGGUUGGGGAUGGACUCGCGUCUUAUCAGCUUGUUGGUGGGGUAGUGGCUUACCAAGGCUUUGACGGGUAGCCGGCCUGAGAGGGUGACCGGCCACAUUGGGACUGAGAUACGGCCAAGACUCCUACGGGAGGCAGCAGUGGGGAAUAUUGCACAAUGGGCGGAAGCCUGAUGCAGCAACGCCGCGUGCGGGAUGACGGCCUUCGGGUUGUAAACCGCUUUCGCCUGUGACGAAGCGUGAGUGACGGUAAUGGGUAAAGAAGCACCGGCUAACUACGUG